CCUACGGGGGGCAGCAGUGAGGAAUAUUGGUCAAUGGACGAGAGUCUGAACCAGCCAAGUAGCGUGAAGGAUGACUGCCCUAUGGGUUGUAAACUUCUUUUAUAUGGGAAUAAAAUGUUCCACGUGUGGGAUUUUGUAUGUACCAUAUGAAUAAGGAUCGGCUAACUCCGUGCCAGCAGCCGCGGUAAUACGGAGGAUCCGAGCGUUAUCCGGAUUUAUUGGGUUUAAAGGGAGCGUAGGUGGAUUGUUAAGUCAGUUGUGAAAGUUUGCGGCGCAACCGUAAAAUUGCAGUUGAAACUGGCAGUCUUGAGUACAGUAGAGGUGGGCGGAAUUCGUGGUGUAGCGGUGAAAUGCUUAGUUAUCACGAAGAACUCCGAUUGGGAAGGCAGUUCACUGGACUGCAACUGACACGGAGGCUCGAAAGUGUGGGUAUCAAACAGGAUUAGAUACCCGUGUAGUC
Molecule: ribosomal RNA, 460 nt
Filed under: uncultured bacterium
Lineage: Bacteria
Description: partial 16S ribosomal RNA
Rfam family: Bacterial small subunit ribosomal RNA
Source: RNAcentral